AAGUCGUAACAAGGUUUCCUUCCACAGCGAACCACGGAAGCCUUUGCACCCCCUAACGGGGAGCCCCGCGACUAUAAACAAGGGCUGCGCAGGUGGCCUCACAGGCUGCAACACGAUCGAAUUGCGGGGACGUCCUAAAGCCUAACGGUACCAACCUCGGGGGGAAACCUCAGGGGGGCCUGCGCUAACCGCGUGGGGUGGUCAGAACCCGUUGGGAUGCUACAGUGGACAAUCCGCAGCGGAGCCCCUACCGGCCUAUGGCCCAUGGGGAACGUUCACAGACUAGGUGAUCGUGGGGUGGGUGCUAAGGCGCCCUCCUUAAGAUAUAGUCGGGCUGCUUGGGAGACGAGCAGGGUGUUUCGCACUGUACCGUUCCGUAGGUGAACCUGCGGAAGGAUCAUUACAGAGUUUCAUGCCCUAUGGGUAGAUCUCCCCACCCCUUGUGUAUUUAUACCAUGUUGCUUUGGCGGGGCCGUCAGGCUUCGGUCAGGCCCACGGCGCAGGCUGUGGAGCGCCCGCCGAGGGACCUUCAAACUCUGAAUGUUAGGUCGUCUGAGUACUAUAAAAUAGUAAA
RNAcentral lists this unclassified non-coding RNA (574 nucleotides) under plant metagenome. Its description in RNAcentral is "partial contains small subunit ribosomal RNA and internal transcribed spacer 1". The stretch from base 63 to 353 matches the Rfam family "Group I catalytic intron". Rfam says of the family: Group I catalytic introns are large self-splicing ribozymes. The record is from RNAcentral.